UACGUAGGGGGCAAGCGUUAUCCGGAUUUACUGGGUGUAAAGGGAGCGUAGACGGCAGGGCAAGUCUGGAGUGAAAGGCAGGGGCCCAACCCCUGGACUGCUCUGGAAACUGUCCGACUGGAGUGCAGGAGAGGUAAGUGGAAUUCCUAGUGUAGCGGUGAAAUGCGUAGAUAUUAGGAGGAACACCAGUGGCGAAGGCGGCUUACUGGACUGUAACUGACGUUGAGGCUCGAAAGCGUGGGGAGCAAACAGG
Molecule: ribosomal RNA, 253 nt
Filed under: uncultured bacterium
Lineage: Bacteria
Description: partial 16S ribosomal RNA
Rfam family: Bacterial small subunit ribosomal RNA
Source: RNAcentral